This 643-nucleotide ribosomal RNA is filed under the name uncultured fungus. Its description in RNAcentral is "eukaryotic LSU rRNA". It matches the Rfam family "Eukaryotic large subunit ribosomal RNA", at positions 1 to 626 of the family's 3401-position model. Lineage: Eukaryota; Fungi. The record is from RNAcentral.
CUGGCCUCAAAUCAGGUAGGACUACCCGCUGAACUUAAGCAUAUCAAUAAGCGGAGGAAAAGAAACUAACAAGGAUUCCCCUAGUAACGGCGAGUGAAGCGGGAAGAGCUCAAAUUUAAAAUCUGGCGGUCUACGGCCGUCCGAGUUGUAUUCUAGAGAGGCGUUUUCCGUGCCGGACCGUGUACAAGUCCCUUGGGAUAGGGCGUCAUAGAGGGUGAGAAUCCCGUCCAUGACACGGACUCCCGGUGCUUUGUGAUGCGCUUUCAAAGAGUCGAGUUGUUUGGGAAUGCAGCUCAAAAUGGGUGGUAAAUUCCAUCUAAAGCUAAAUACAGGCGAGAGACCGAUAGCGAACAAGUACCGUGAGGGAAAGAUGAAAAGCACUUUGGAAAGAGAGUUAAACAGUACGUGAAAUUGUUGAAAGGGAAACGCUUGGAGUCAGUCGUGUCCCACAGGACUCAGCCUUGCUUCCGCUUGGUGUAUUUCCUGGGGGACAGGCCAGCAUCGAUUUUGGAUGCCGGAUAAAGGCUUGGGGAAGGUGGCACCUCCGGGUGUGUUAUAGCCCCUUGUUGUAUACGGUGACCGGGAUCGAGGUCUGCAGCACGCCUUUUGGUCGGGAUUCGUCCACGCCACGUGCUUAGGAUGC